AUGAGGGUGGAAUGUUUUGCUACGCUGAAGUUUUGACAUUCAUUUUUCCUUUCACUUUUGGUUUUUAUCUCUGAAGGAUAAAAGAAGGAUUUGAAGAAAUGCCCUCACACUUGGCAUAGAAAGGCACGUCAUGUCUUCUUGCAGAAGAUCACUCCAUCAGUGAGCCUGGGUCUGUUCCAGCCAUCUGGAAGAAGGUUCAUCUUGCAGCUGAGAUUUCCCGAAUGCUGGAGAAGUCGAGCUGUCAGUCACGAUGUUCACCUCAAGUGCUAGCUGGUCCUUUGGUUACCUGGGCCUUUGCAGCGGGACACCUUGAAGUAAAUGACUGUGACCUUGAGCUUAACUGGGGAUAGAGUGGGAAGACAGGGAAGUAAGGCAGAAAACUCGGUUGUCCCAGUGAUAGCCAGUCCUGCCGUGGCUCUGCACUGCAAGGAGUUCUUUCUGCUUUGAAGGUUUUAAGCCCUGCCACAUUGCAUAGCUAUGAUCACUGUGUAAUCAAAUCACAGUGAGAAAUAAGACAGAGCAAGCUCUCAGAGUCCACCCUGUUGUGAGAGCUGGCUCUGCUGGCUGCAGUGCCUCUGCCACUUUGCAUCAGUUUGAUGUCAGUGCACGCUUUGCUCUCCGAAAGCAGUGGAAAUCUUUCCAGUUAUUUUGGAUAAAGCUCCCAGCAAGCUGGAGCUGGUUAGCCACCCUUUGUAGUAAUUAGGAGUCAUUCCUUUUCCCUAGGCAGAAACAAGGUGCAGUGACAUUGAGAAGGAAAUCCUGCUGGGCCUGAAGGCCUUUCUGAAGGGCGAUGGGCUGCAGGUGCUAAAUUCUGCUCUUGGCUGUCCGCUUUGUCACCAUACAUGGAAAACAGUGAAAACAGAAAUUGGCCUUUUAUGCAGUUAUUCCCUGCUUGCCCCUUUGGGCCUGGUUCUGGCAGUGUGAUGGGUGAAACUGGAGAAGCAGCAUCAGGUUGCAGGAGUGAUUUUGACAGGUUGAAGGGCCAGAGCUGGUGCUGGGAGACACAGGGCAGCUCCAUUUGUCUUGGCAUUACUGAAGUCAAUGGGAUUUUGGCCAUAGUCUUCCACAGGGCUAGGAUUUCACUGUGCAUAGCUAAGAAAGCACUGUAUCAUACAGUUGUGUUGUCUGCCAUGACAUUUACUGCUAUUGGAAUGAGUAUGUCCCCCAUGUCCCUUGUCUCCUUGUCUCUAUCUUCAUAGAUCUUCACCUGUGUUUUUCUUUUUCUCACCUACUCUCUUGUCUGUUUCUAUCUAUCUAUCUAUCCAUCCAUCCAUCUACCUAUGUAUUUUUUUUUUAUUCUAUUUCACUGCUUGCUGCCCUCCCUUGCUGUCUCCUCAGCUCUCCCUCUCACGUACUCUGCAAGGAAUGUGCCUACAAGAGGUAUUUUUAUUUGGCAGCCUGAGUAAGCUUUCUGUUUUGGCUGCAGGUACUUAGAUAAGCAGCCAAUGGAGCUGAGAUCGCCUGUGUCACGUUUUAGCUCUUUCCAUCUGAUAGAGAUGACCUCACUGGCUGUGUUGGGGAGGUCUGGUUGCAAGGGCAAAGAAAUUAGAGUUAACCUUGAAAGAAGAAGCAGCACAGUGACACACAUAUGUUUUUGAUAUGAUUUGCUGCAUAAUGCAGAGGUAUAAGAAGAUUCAGACAUUAUUUCACUACAGAAGGUGUGCAAACAUAAAGAGGAAUCCAGAUACUGGGGUAGUUAAAGCUUUUUGCCCUGUGACUUCAGCAGUAAGACAGGCUGCCAAAGGGGCUUGGUUUGCUCCUGAAGAAUAUCCUCCUUGAAGCAAGUUAUUCUCUGACCUAAAGGUGAUAUAAGGUGUAUAUGGCCUUGGUCUCUUUGAUUAAAGAAAGGGAAGCUGUUGUGCGUCAGGGGUAUAGCUGAUCUGCUGUUUUGUGGCAUCAUAUCAGGCCACAGGUGCCCAGUAUAUAUCAGGAUAACUUGGUUCUGGAUUGCCAUGGAGGGGCUGAUCCCUCAUCACAGUACACCAUUACAAGACACCAGGAUGAAUCCUCCAGCACAGAAACAUAGAAAAACACUCCAGGAGCAUUUGUUAAAGCUUCCUUGUGCACUGAGAUUUGAAAGGGUCUGGGAUGACACUGACAGUCUGUUUGGGAGAACAUUUUUGAGACAGACUAUUUAAUCCUGCAAAACCAGUGAAGAAAGGAGGGGAAGUUGUGGUUUGAGCUGUUAUGAAACUGGGAACCAGGCAGGCUUGGGGAAAGGACCGGUCUGUAUUGCUUCAGUGGAUGAAGUCUGUGAAAGUCUACCCUAUUAUCACACAGCACCAGAUGGUAUCAAAGCUCUUGUUCCAGAGCAUUCAAGCACCUGGAUCUGUCACCCUUUCCAGAUUUGCAACGUCUGUUGCUGGGAAGAAGCAGUCCUGAGCAGAACUGGGAUGGUCAAGUUAUUUUAGUGGCAUGAUUGGGGGGAGUGAUGUGUAUGUGGCUUGGGUCACAAGGGUCCAUCUCACUUUUUGUUGGGUCACCCAUCACGCCUUGCAUGCAUGCAUCUGGAGACAUUAAGUCACCCUUCCUCCUUGGUGUGAGACGAAGGAAACCGUGACGCUUUUCCAGUAAGACGUGUGCGUGUGCAUACACAAAUGAGGCUAAUUCUGGUCUAUGCGGGUGCUAGCUCAGGCUGUGCAUCCUUGCACGUAGUAGCGAUGGGGCAGAUGGGGGUGUGUGCUAAGGCAGCCGAACUGCUAUGCUUUGACAGCUCUGGUGCACGUGUUAAAAUAACAUCAUCCUGGCUUGUUGUCUCUCCUCUUCCACCCUCUCCCCUCACUCAACAAAGUCUAAAGGGAACAAGCUCCAGGUAUUAAAAUAGCUCCUGUCUAGCUUGUUAAGUCUAUUUCAGGAGGUUGGUUCCAUCUUGACACAGAUAGAAUACAGAGAUGUUGUGGAAACCACAGCCACAAGAGGCCAUCGGCCAAAACUAAAUGAUUUCCCAGCUUACGCAGAGCAGUUUGUUCUCCCCCCGCCUCCCCCCAUCCCCUCUCCUGGCUUAAAAUAACAGCACGAAGCUGUUUGGCUUUGUUUUGCUGGAUUCUUGUGCUUGCUGUGCUCAGUCUGGUGGCGAUGGGAGAGAAAACCAGAGGGACUUUUGUGGUGUCAGAGGUUUGUUGCCUUCUGGAUUUAGGUGAGACCUCCAGAAGCAGCAGGAAAAUGAGAACCCCGUGGGUAUUUCUGGAAUGUGUUUUCAAGGAGUAAACAAGCAAUGGGUGUAAAUCACUGCUACUGCAUGGAUUUACCGGCUUAGACCAUGGAUUCGGUCUCCUGGCUUGUCUUAGAUUGACCAGAAGGGCACUGGAAAUCUUGAAAGAGAUUAGGGCAAAUGUCACUCAGGGAUAGCUAAACUCUGAUUAAGCCAGUCACAGGGAAGGAGUCAUUUUCUGGUUCCUGUGAUUCUUCUGUUGCUAAGCCAGGGCUUAUCCCUGCAGCUGCACUGCUUCACACCUGCUGAAGGUUUGGCCCAAAAUAUCCCUCAGCUGAGGAUCUAGCUGAUAAGACUGGUCUGAAAACACCAUGAAUAAGACACAUACAUUAACUUCCUCCCAGCUUCCACCUGUAUGCUUGGAGCGUCAAUGCUUUCUGCAUUUUCUCACCCUCAAGUUCAUAGGUCUUAUUCCAGCUCCUGCUUCUACCUGGGAUUAUCUCUUUCUUCUUAAAGGACAACAAGUAGUGCCUAGGCCUAUUCCACACUUGCCUCAGAAUUAGUGGGUUAGUAAAAACCUCCAUCUUUUGCUCCAGACUGCACCAGAACCAGUGAAUAUUUCCCAGCACCUCUGAUGGGUAGUGUGGGAGGGAGUGAGCAAACAGCUGUGUGGUGCUUAGCUGCCUGCUGGCUUCUAUCACAAUAUGAGGUCUCCAGAGUGCUUCUUUUUGAGUCGGUUCAGCAUUACAAAGGAUUUUUGUAUGGAAGCACAUGGCCCAGGUUGAUUGGUAGCCCCGUUUCCUCAUAUGAACCAGAAGACUUCUAUAUUAUGGGAAAGAAAUGCAAAUGCCUAGGAGACAGUGCAUCACAGUAUGCAAAUGUACUUGAAAGAGAGUAUUUUGAGCCAGGUCAACGACAUAACAUAUCGUCAUUCACACUGAAUUAUCUGAUCUAAAAUACAUGGGUCUGAUUUUCCUACUGGAAAAAUUAAAAACAAAUCUCUUGGGAAACAAAAACUGCUGAUGUUGGUAGAAAGUCUGUUUCCCUCAGAAAUAAAUUAUAGCAGAAAUUUCCUGACUAGAUCUAUUUUAACACAUGUAGUCUGUCUGUCUAUCUAUCUAUCCAUCUAUUUAUCUUUCUAUAUCUUUAAUUAAGGUUUAAUCAUUCUGCACUUAAGGACAGUUUGUACUUAGACUUUGGAUCAAGCCUGGAGUCAUCUGUAUGUGUCAAACUAUAAAAGUAUUUAUCAUACCCCUCUGUAUAGGCUAAUCCACAGACAUAACCCAGCAGAUUAUUGUCAGUAGCUGAGUAAUUACCUUAAUUUGAGCAAAAAGGUCAAUGGGACCAAAUGUUGCUGUAGCCAUGCGGUUGGAGUAUUACACACCCAUACAUGUUAUUAUUUGCUCAGUUUUCUUUUUCUUUUCUUGCACUGCUUUUUUUUUUUUUUUUUUUUCUUCCCCCCCCCCCACAAACCAUAAAAAUAAAGACGCUGUCUCUGGCUAGAAAUGUGAAUGGAAUAAAUUGUAAGUUCCUGAAAUGCUACAUGUCAAAUUAGCUCAUGUAAAAAUGCUUUCCACUUACAUAGCUUCUUCUAAACACUGCUAGGACAGCCUGCUCUCAUCGAGCCAGACAUGUGGAUCCCUAUUUCAGGAAACAUGGCACAGGAGGCAUAACCCAGCCGGGGCAGGGUGAAGUCAAUGAGGCCACCUAGAUGCGGGGAGGAGCUGCUCCAGUGAUCUCUCUCACAGCAGCUCUGGGCUCCCCAGGCUCUCUGUGGGGUCUCCCUUCAUAUCCCCACUUUGCACUGAGCGGCAGCAGCACUUGCUCCCCUGUGCAUGCCCAUGGCUUUGCAAAUAUUUCUCUUUGUUUGCUGUAAAUGGGGGAAGGACUGCCUGGGUGCUGAGGAGGAGGGGGUGCCCAGCUGAAUACAUCUUCACAAUUUGUAAUGUGCACUUUGGCAGUGAAGUGGGUGUUUUGAUGAACCUGCAGGAGACAAGUAGGGUGUCCUGGGGACCCUGUCACUCAUUGCUGUUGAUGAAGUGGCAUUUUUUCAACGAGCCUCUGAGAAAGAGGGGCUAUGCUGCAAAAUGUUUGAGAAAGAACAAAUCUUUCUGGAGACCUUUUUGAUCUGGCCAGCACUGAGGCACCACCCAGUGUUCCCCAGGGGAAAGAAGUCUCAGGUUGGCAGGCUGCUCACCUGCACCAUCAGAAGCAAAAAGGGAGAUGAGAGUCCUACCUGCAUCAGAUAACACCUCUAGCUGCAGGGAUAACAACCACUAUGGGACUCCUCUGCACUGCCAUUAGAAGCACCAGCCUACCCAUUCCUUCCUUGCUGUAUCCAUUGGUUUCCUCAGGCUGGUCUUGGGAAAAUGGGACAUGGCAGGCUCAGUUUUCAUCCAGUUGAGGCUUCUGCAACACAGCCUGUUCUCUCAUUAGGCACCAGCUGCUGUAAUGUUCUGUGAUGUCCCCCUCUUGAGACACCAACAGCUGGUCCCCAUGCCGAAAGCACCUGGGCAAGCACCCGAGCGCUGGUGGGACUGAUCCAUGUGGGAGAUGAGCGGAACAGAGAGCAUCAGAUUCUCCCUUUUCCAGAGGGGGAAUUGCAGUGUGGGCAGCUGAAAUUGUUUCCGAUGUGUCAAAGGGGAAAUGUGUGUCUCAGUGUCAUGAAGGGCCUCUGCAAUGGGAACUGACCACCUACCUUCCCAGUACCCGUCUCCUGAUUUCUCCAGAAGAUGUUUCUCCAGCCCAUGACACAUCUCUCUCCCUUUCCUGUCUUUGUUCCCUCAGCACUUGAUGCACUGAUGUGGGAGACCUUGAAAUGCUUGGUUGGGCUGGGUUACCUUUGCGUUCUGUCUCAGAAACACACACGUGCCCAGGAGGUUUCUCAGACCAUAUGAUGAUUAAAGUACUCACAGAGCUCGAUCCAGGCAGCUAUUUACUGGUUGCUUCUAAGGUUUGUGUGCAUUCUUGUAGCGCUAAUGGAUAGAAAAGUGAGAGCAUACCAUCGCUCUAAACUCUUUGUCUGCUGGACCUAGAACCCCAACUUCAGGCAGAGGGGAAUUAUAAUAAAGCCAUAGGUGAUGCAUUCUGACAUCCUAAAGAUAUAUUGUUGCUGACCUGGUAAAUCUGGUUGUGCUCAGUGAGGUAUGUGAAUUGCCGCUGUUAUCCUGGAUUCUUGACAGACUUUAUGACCAGAAGAGAAAUAUUGGAUUUACACUAUAAAAAUAAGGUAAAAAUAACACCAGGAAAAAAAAACAUUUGCACAAUAACCUGCACUCUACAUCUCACAAAUAAGUAAAUAAAUAACUCUUGGAACUAUGAUUGGGAAUAGUAUUUCACAAGGCUUGUGGAAAGGAUGGAAAGAGAAGCCAGAUGAGUUAAAACCCAAGGUGGCACCAUGCUGCUCUCUUCACUGAGGGGAAGCCAAAAAAUCAACUUUCAAGAACCAAAUCCUUGCACUGUCCAUUGGACAUUCUGCAAAAUGUGAUAUAUGCAGUGCUUGUUAAUGAUGCUUCUCUUUAUUUUUUUUUCUGUAAAAAUAUUUCUUUAAACAGUAAUAUAUUGCCUCAGAGACCUCAGCUUUGUAUCAUACAAGGAAUGAAGGGAGACUUAUAGAGAUGUCCUGAGGGUUUCUGGAAGCCAUAUGAAAGUAUGGCAUCUCAGAAAUAGCUCAGCUUUCUGAGAGACAACAUGCUACCAUUGGAUGUGCGUCUUCAGCUGUGCAAGAUAAAAAAGUAGAGAGUCACCAUCUACUACUACUAGGAUCCUUUUCAGAAGGACUCUCUUUAGAAAGCCCUUUAUGGGAUACCAAAAGGGGUUCCCACUUGGUUUUAGAUGCUCAUGACACCUGGAAGGCUCCAGCACAAGUGGGUCUAGCAGACAAUGUCUGGAUGUUCUUGCUUUCUCAAGGGCUCAAGUGACAGCAGCAAUAAAGACACAGCCUUCUUCAUGCCCCAGUUGUUUGUGUAAAGCUGGCUGUGGGCUGCUGCUCUCAGACCUCCUGCUGCAGGAUAGCUACAACCUAAGCCUACACUCUCUUUGCCACCCCUAGGUCUGGCUGUACUGCCCCAGCUCAUGUAGAUGUUUACCAAGUGCUGAUCUCUGCUGAAGUCAUUGCUCAAAUACCUGGACAGAUGUUGGACUGGGGUGAGACACUCCCUGAACAUAUGUGGGUUAUGGGUGAAAAGCGUGUCUUGCAUGGCCUUGCUUGUUACCAUCUUAUUGUCAACAGCGAAUCCUUUGUUAUCUUUUAAAAUAAAUAUUUCUCUUGGAUUUAAAUCUA
This is a non-coding RNA of Anas platyrhynchos (mallard), 7433 nucleotides long. The record is from RefSeq and is a predicted model, not a curated record. NCBI's taxonomy places the organism in Eukaryota, Metazoa, Chordata, Aves, Anseriformes, Anatidae.